UGUAGAACGACACAUGCCACUAAAGACCUUUUGAAUAAGUACUCUAGAAAGUAAUAUUAAAAUUUGUGAAAGAUCCCGUAGUAACAGUUAUAAAUAUGGUACUCAUACAUAAGCUUCAGCAUUCAACGUUUGGCCUGCGUUAGGGACAUAUGCGACUAUACCUGAUUUACUGUAACAACAACUUGCUCAAGCGUCGGAUUAUUUUAUGUGUAAACUGGUGUAAAUUCGUGACAUCCUCCAGAUAAGCGACACAAACGUAGGAUAUCGGGAUAGCAAAUGGAACGAUGGUGUAUGUUUUUCACGUAGCAGUAUUUCCUUUUCCUUAUGAUUGCUGGGAAAAGCGAGGUAACAGGUACUAUAUCUUAUGUUAAUGUUGGGUUUACUGCAAUCUUCCGCAUGACGUUACCCUAACGGUCAACACGGACGGAUUCUGAACGGUCAACAUACUCUUGCUAUAUUGUGCACAGGAUGGAAAUUUGAAGUAUUAGUAAUUCCCAACAGUGAUAAUGUUUGGUUUCAAGUGUUUUGAGAGAAAUGCUUAGAAAGUGCAGGUGUUAGUAGGGCAGAUAAAUGAAGAUUAGAAAACGAUGAUUCGUGUUCUAGAAUGAUUUAAUGCUCACUUUUCGUAUCAAAUAAAGAAACAAUGUAUGAGUUA
Topomyia yanbarensis is the source of this 655-nucleotide long non-coding RNA. RefSeq lists it as uncharacterized. The record is from RefSeq and is a predicted model, not a curated record. The transcript is spliced from 2 exons. NCBI's taxonomy places the organism in Eukaryota, Metazoa, Arthropoda, Insecta, Diptera, Culicidae.